Molecule: long non-coding RNA, 1109 nt
Organism: Sceloporus undulatus (fence lizard)
Lineage: Eukaryota; Metazoa; Chordata; Lepidosauria; Squamata; Phrynosomatidae
Exons: 3
Source: RefSeq, a predicted model, not a curated record
CUCCUUUUAUAUUACACGUUAAGAUAUGUGAUGAGUUUUUACAAUUAGCUGUAAAAGUUCAGAACAUUUCUUCAAGCCUUUGUGAACACUAUGGGAGGAGACUGUGGCCUCCCAGGGGUUUCUGGACCACAGGAGCAGUCUGAAUAUCUCUUGGGCAUGCCGAAGGUCUCGAGGAUUGAAACCUUUCCCAGCUCUGCAGUAGAUGUUCACUUCAUUACAUACUCUGUAUGAACCUUGGACAAGCUUCAUGUGUUUAGGUCUGAGAAUCAAGUACAUCCAACUCUGAUCAUAAGUGGAAUCGGCUCAAGACCUUUCUAAAAUGUGGAGAUAAGUGCCCUUGGCUGUGAUUAUUUGUUUGUUUUUCCAGGUUCUUUCUUCCACCGUACAGUUUCUCUUUUGUCUAGUUUUUCAGCAGUAAGCUUUCAGCAGGGAUCUGUUUUAUUCCUUCGUGUAACACACCAUGUACAUUGAUGGGGCUAUAUAAAUAAUUAAUAGCAAUAAUAAUCACAUGAAUCUGGGGCAUCAGUGUGAUAUCUCAUUAAGGAAGGUGACUUACUGAUGCAGUAACAGAGGAGCACUUAUAACAUCUUGUGGUGUAGAGCUUUUAUAUACAACAAAAGCUGUAAUUUGCUGUUGCUUUUUCUUUCUUUCUUUCUUUAAAUAAUAACUUCACCAUUCACUUGCCAGUUGAAUUCAGAAUUAUAUCAGUUACUCUUGCAACUCUUUGGGGAAAGAUUGGCUUUACUUGUGAAAUCUGAAUAGGCUUUUAUCUCUGUGUCACUCUGAUGCCAGCAAAGAAUUUAAGAACAGUCCACUUCCUGAAUUUUCAGUUCACUGAGCUUUAGAUUGAUAGGUUUCUAUAAUUUAAAACCAACCACAUUUUCACCAUUGGAGGGAAACAUACUGAAGAAACUAGAUGGUGGCUUGAUUCAAUCUAUUGCAUAUACAUAAGCAAGCAUGGCAGCUAGAUCAGUAGGGCCAAGCAUGAUGUUGCAUUUGUACACUAUCAAAUAGUCACACAGGGCGACGACAAUAAAUAAACAGAUGUUUUGCUCAGAGUCUCUUAGUUGUGUAGACUUUUUGGAAAUGAUCAUGAUGUUUAUAUUUCU